This 134-nucleotide non-coding RNA is filed under the name Geobacillus sp. RNAcentral describes it as "FMN sequence". It matches the Rfam family "FMN riboswitch aptamer (RFN element)". From Rfam's summary of the family: The RFN element is a highly conserved domain that is found frequently in the 5'-untranslated regions of prokaryotic mRNAs that encode for flavin mononucleotide (FMN) biosynthesis and transport proteins. This element is a metabolite-dependent riboswitch that directly binds FMN in the absence of proteins. In Bacillus subtilis, the riboswitch most likely controls gene expression by causing premature transcription termination within the 5' untranslated region of the ribDEAHT operon and precluding access to the ribosome-binding site of ypaA mRNA. Lineage: Bacteria; Bacillati; Bacillota; Bacilli; Caryophanales; Anoxybacillaceae. The record is from RNAcentral.
UGCAUCCUUCGGGGCAGGGUGAAAUUCCCGACCGGCGGUGAUGAGGCGACGCGCCUCUCAGCCCGCGAGCCUGAUUGGCACGAUCCGGUGCGAUUCCGGAGCCGACAGUAUAGUCUGGAUGGGAGAAGGAUGGC